This is a small nucleolar RNA of Syngnathoides biaculeatus (alligator pipefish), 74 nucleotides long. RefSeq annotates it as small nucleolar RNA SNORD24. The transcript has a single exon. NCBI's taxonomy places the organism in Eukaryota, Metazoa, Chordata, Actinopteri, Syngnathiformes, Syngnathidae. The record is from RefSeq and is a predicted model, not a curated record.
CGCAGAUGAUGUAAGUGAAUAUUUGCUAUCUUACCCCCGCUGAAGACGACCUUCCCACCAAGAUCGCUGAUGCG